GUUUAAUCAUGUUCCAUCUCUUAUUCCAAUGCCUAUAAUUUUAUCUUAUACGGGAAGAAAAAAACAUUAAUGAAGUGAUGAUGAACACCCUAAUAGUUAGCAAGCACUAUUUUAAUGGCAGUCAUUGUGUAUAAUAGAGGGUGUUGUUGGAAAGCUGCUGACUGUGAACAACAUUUAAUUAGAAAUGUAGCCCUGGAGCAGGAGGUGAACCUGUGCUCUUAAUUGCCUCUGUUGGUGGCUAUACCCUAGAGCACAUUAGGGCUGGGGGUUUCUGGGGCAGCUGGGGCAUGGUGAGAACCUGUGGGUGAGAGGCUCUGCUGCUUUGGGCCAAGCUAAUCCUCCAGCUGAAGCCUGUUGAGCCAAGGAACCCAGCCAGCCUCACUCGUUUGGUGUGAUCUCUGGCUGCUUGAAUGCUGUUCACCCAGUUACACUUCUCUGGUACUAUGAUCAGACACCAGGAGCAGCACACACACAUGAGUUCAGAAGUUCCUGCACAAGCAAGGUCAGAAUGAUGGACGCCUUUGAAAACAGGAUCAGUAAACAGCCUAUUGCUGACUGCAGACAUGAUGUUUAUGAUAUGAAAGAGAGAUGUGCCAACAUUGAGAUAAUGUUGUUUUGGGAAUUGCCUCUUCUCAUUUCCUCAGCUUGUGCCAACCUCAGGUUCAGCAGCCAGUGCUCACUCUCCUGCCCUCCCACACCUCUGAUUGCAAAGACCUUCGAGUUAUUCUGUACUUUGGCAGAUUUUUCUCUGAAAGCUCGCAGGCAAGUCUCUCCAUGCAAGUGCCCUAAUUUGAGGUUAUCUAAUUCUGAGUGGUCUCAAUAACUCUGGGAGCAUGCUUUAAGUAGUUUUUCUUCCAAUUACAAAAUUGAAAGUAAUCCAGCUUUUUU
RNAcentral lists this long non-coding RNA (888 nucleotides) under Anser brachyrhynchus (Pink-footed goose). Its description in RNAcentral is "lncRNA (ENSABRG00000001983.1)". The record is from RNAcentral. Lineage: Eukaryota; Metazoa; Chordata; Aves; Anseriformes; Anatidae.